This is a long non-coding RNA of Erinaceus europaeus (western European hedgehog), 949 nucleotides long. RefSeq lists it as uncharacterized. The record is from RefSeq and is a predicted model, not a curated record. The transcript has 3 exons. Lineage: Eukaryota; Metazoa; Chordata; Mammalia; Eulipotyphla; Erinaceidae.
UUCACCAAGGCACCCCUCUCUCUCUAGAAUAGGGAGUCAUGGGAGCGGCGGCCGUGGUGUUGGAGCUGGCUGCCCUCUGGUAGCCAGCCGGGUGCUGGCACCCAGGACCUCAUGGUGGACGGUGGAGCACACACCAGACCAAGCUCUCCAAGGCACAGUCUUCUUCAAGCCUCACUUUGCAGGUGAAGAGUGUAGUCUGGCUCAGAGGUCAGGUGCUGCCUCUUUCCUGUCAUGGAUGAGUGGUGCAUCUGAACUUACGUGCUAAACCUGCUCUGCUCAACCUGUUCUCCUGACGUCAAUAAGCACAGUGCUACCCCGAUUGAUACAAACCUAGUUUCCUGGUAUGAGAGUCCAGAGGAUUUGGCAUGCCAUACGUGUCACCAAUGUGAACACAAGUUUAUUUCUCGGUGGCAUUAAUGGCCUAGAACAAGGGCACAACCUUCCAGAUAGAAGAUAAAAGAAGUGGAGAAGCCACAGCACCACUCCACCUCUCAUAGUUCAUGAAGCUUCCUCUGUGCAUGGUGCCCCCAUGUGGCGCUCAGGGGCCCAAAUGUGGGUCUUUGCUUGUGCUAAAGCAUGCACUACUCCUAGCCUUCUUCUAUAAUACCUACAAGAGGGUGGGCCACUUUUUCCAGAAAGAAAAACCAGGACUUUUCUCACUGAUGAGGAAGCUCAGAGGCUCACUCAAAUGCCCUGCAAUGGUUACAAAGGGCUUUCUUGGAGAGUUGGGCAGUGGUACAACGGGUUAAGUGCAUGUGGUGUGAAGCUGAAGGACCAGUGUUGGGAUCCCAGUUCGAGCCCCCGGCUCCCCACCUGCAGGGGAGUCACUUCACAAGCAGUGAAGCAGGUCUGCAGGUGUCUAUCUUUCUCUGCCCCUGUCUUCCCCUCCCCUCUUGAUUUCUCUCUGUCCCCAACAAUGACAACAUCAAUAACAAUAAUAACUACAACA